Molecule: ribosomal RNA, 274 nt
Filed under: uncultured bacterium
Lineage: Bacteria
Description: partial 16S ribosomal RNA
Rfam family: Bacterial small subunit ribosomal RNA
Source: RNAcentral
AUACGGAGGGUGCAAGCGGUACUCGGAAUCACUGGGCGUAAAGCGCGCGCAGGCGGCUAUUUAAGUUGGAUGUGAAAGCCUACGGCUCAACCGUAGAACUGCAUCCAAAACUAUUUAGCUAGAGUGUGGGAGAGGAAGAUGGAAUUAGUUGUGUAGGGGUAAAAUCCGUAGAGAUAACUAGGAAUACCAAAAGCGAAGGCAAUCUUCUGGAACACUACUGACGCUGAGGCGCGAAAGCGUGGGGAGCAAACGGGAUUAGAAACCCUAGUAGUCC